Molecule: ribosomal RNA, 341 nt
Filed under: uncultured bacterium
Lineage: Bacteria
Description: partial 16S ribosomal RNA
Rfam family: Bacterial small subunit ribosomal RNA
Source: RNAcentral
CCUACGGGAGGCAGCAGUGGGGAAUCUUGCGCAAUGGGCGAAAGCCUGACGCAGCGACGCCGCGUGAGGGAUGAAGGUCUUCGGAUUGUAAACUCCUUUUGUUAGAGAAGAUAAUGACGGUAUCUAACGAAUCAGCACCGGCUAACACCGUGCCAGCAGCCGCGGUAAUACGGAGGGUGCAAGCGUUCCCUGGAAUCACUGGGCGUAAAGAGCGCGUAGGCGGGAUAGCAAGUCAGAUGUGAAAUCCUAUGGCUUAACCAUAGAACUGCAUUUGAAACUGGUAUUCUAGAGUAUGGGAGAGGAAGGUGGAAUUCUUGGUGUAGGGGUAAAAUGCGUAGAGA